AACGAACGCUGGCGGCAUGCCUAACACAUGCAAGUCGAACGAACCCUUCGGGGUUAGUGGCGCACGGGUGCGUAACGCGUGGGAAUCUGCCCUUUGCUUCGGAAUAACUCAGGGAAACUUGUGCUAAUACCGGAUGAUGUCUUCGGACCAAAGAUUUAUCGGCAAGGGAUGAGCCCGCGUAGGAUUAGGUGGUUGGUGGGGUAAAGGCCUACCAAGCCGACGAUACUUAGCUGGUCUGAGAGGAUGAUCAGCCACGCUGGGACUGAGACACGGGCCAGACUCGUGCGGGAGGCGGCAGUGGGAAAUAUUGGACAAUGGGCGCAAGACUGAGCAAGCAAGGCCGCGUGAGUGAGGCAGGCCGGCGGGUAGUAGAGCUCUUUUACCAGGGAGGAUGAUGACAGUACCUGGAGAAUAAGCUCCGGGUAACUCCGUG
Molecule: ribosomal RNA, 433 nt
Filed under: uncultured bacterium
Lineage: Bacteria
Description: partial 16S ribosomal RNA
Rfam family: Bacterial small subunit ribosomal RNA
Source: RNAcentral